CUUGCAUCCAAUGCUGUCCAAUUGUCUUAGAGAUAAUAAAUUUUUCUUUAGGCCUUUUACGUGUCGUACCUCCUGGAUAGUGCGAACUGUACCAUCAUACAUUUUUAAUUUAAUGGUACAAAUACCAGCGAUCUCCAAGGCAUGAUCAUUUCCCAUAAACACAAAUCCUCCUAGGAUAGUCUCAUAUUGAUGGAACCAUUCCCUCAUUGGUGUUAUGUGCCAUAUAGCUCUUGAAUCCAUAAGCCAGACAUCAAAAAAUUUCUUUCUGCCUUCAACAAUUGUUGUUGCCUUGCUGUAUAAAAUUUCACCAUCAUUUGAGGUGCUUACUACACAAGCCUGAGCUUUUGAUGUUCCAGGACCUUUUCCUUUGAUUUCUUCAUUCUUCUUGAGACUCCAACAAUUCCUUUUUAAAUGCCCUUUCUUACCACAGUAAUGACACUUGACAUUUUUCUUACUCCUGGAUUUUGAUCUACUCUGAUUAUGACUCCCACUGAGCCACGUUCCGUUGAUCUCCCUCUCAUCAUCGUUAAAGCUUCCGCCUGAUGCAAACUUGUCGAUAUGUCCUCCUUGUUUUUUCACCGACUUUCUUCUUCAAGAAUAGCAGCUGCAACAUCAUCGAAGACUAGAGUUUCAAAGUUGUUGGUUAAAUUGAUGAUGAGUUGAUCAUACGAAUCUAGCAGACUUUGAAGUAAGAUUUCAGCACGUUCACCCGCCUCUAUAUU
Molecule: long non-coding RNA, 722 nt
Filed under: Olea europaea subsp. europaea
Lineage: Eukaryota; Viridiplantae; Streptophyta; Magnoliopsida; Lamiales; Oleaceae
Source: RNAcentral